UCUAAGGAAAUUUCUUUCAUCUUCUCUCAAGUAAGAUUCAAAAUUGCUCUUUUUCCAAACCCUAAGCUUUAAUUCAUUAUUUGACAUUAAUAGUUCAGAUACCUUCUCCAUGGAACUCCAUUGUUCAUAAACCUAAUAACCUAGAUCUCUAUUAUAGGGGUCCAUCGAUUGCUAAGCAUAUGGAAUCAAGUCACCUAAUUGCGGAAGAUUGACAAAAAGAUCAUCCAAUAUGUAGGUUGUCGGUGAUCCAUGCCUCUCAAGAAGCAUAUCGUUAUUUAGGUGGAAGUACAAAUAGUUAAGCUUGUUGGAACAUAGAACCAACUGACUUAUUAUAUGUACAAGAGUGUUGAAAUUUAUUUCUUUUACUGAUUUUAUUUUUUUAGCAAGGAUAAAAGUAGUAAAUUGGUAGAAAAAUAAGUGGGGUCAUAUUAUUAUUUAUAUUUAUACUUAAUAGAAUCAUUAGCCCUAAAUUAGAAGUGCACCUGUUUCGAAUAGCUGAAAGACUAAUAGUGCUCUACAUCAUUGAUAAGGAAUGAUUUUGUGUUUAGAUACAUAGUUGAGGAUU
Molecule: long non-coding RNA, 565 nt
Organism: Solanum dulcamara
Lineage: Eukaryota; Viridiplantae; Streptophyta; Magnoliopsida; Solanales; Solanaceae
Exons: 3
Source: RefSeq, a predicted model, not a curated record